Molecule: ribosomal RNA, 407 nt
Filed under: uncultured bacterium
Lineage: Bacteria
Description: partial 16S ribosomal RNA
Rfam family: Bacterial small subunit ribosomal RNA
Source: RNAcentral
GACGAACGCUGGCGGCGUGCCUAAUACAUGCAAGUAGAACGCAUUUGCGAACGGUUGAGUAACGCGUAGGUAACUGCCUCAUAGCGGGGUAAAACUAAUGGAAACGAUAGCUAAUACCGCAUAAUGUGAGAUGGACCUGCUUUGUAUUAGCUAGUUGUGCAGGUAAAGGCUCACCAAGGCGACGAUACCUAACCGACCUGGGAGGGUGAUCGGCCACACUGGGACUUAGGCACGGCCCAGACUCCUACGGGAGGCAGCAGUAGGGAAUCUUCGGCAAUGGACGGAAGUCUGACCGAGCAAUGCCGCGUGAGUGAAGAAGGUUUUCGGAUCGUUAAGCUCUGUUGUUAGAGAAGCGUUAACUAACCAGAAAGGGAAGGCUAACUCCGCGCCAGCAGCCGCGGUAAUUC